AGCUUAGCUUUGCUACUCCAUCGCCACUGCCAUCUGUAGCCUUCCUCUGCUGCCGCCGUGGCCUCCACCUUCGCGGCGGCCGCUUGGCCCCCUUCGAAGCGUCCGAGAUCUUCGGUGCACGCCUCUCACCGUGGCCUCAUCGCGGCGGCCGCACUGGUCUCCUUCGGAGCGUCCGAGAUCCUCGGUGCACGCCUAUCACCACCGGUCGCUCGGCCUUUGCGAUUUUAGUUCGUCAUUUUUCUCUAAGACCCGCCCAGAUAAAGCAAGCUGCUGUUUCUCCCCCAUGAGGAGCUCAUGAAGUAGUCUGAAUUACGCACUUGGGACUGUCAACUAAUGCGAAAAAUCGCGAUCGAUCGCAUAAAAAUAUUUUCUUGCCGGUAGGCCUCUUGGAACGAAACAAGCUCAGUCAGCUCCACAUUGAGCUAUUAUUUUGUCUCGGUGGUGUGGUACCCCAAAGCAGUGUCAUAACGUAUGCUUUUGGCUUUGGCUAUGAUCCUUUUGGGUUGAGCAAGAAGCCAGAAGAUUUCGCCAAAUACAAAGUCUAUGAGCUCAUCCAUGCAAAGGUGGGCAAUGCCGGUGCAGCCGGCUUCAUCAUCUUAGAGGCCUUCGACGACGACAAGUUUGGUGCAAAUUGUGGUCCGGAGGCUGCCUGGUUCAAGAUGGUGCUCUUAUCCUAGUUGGAAUUACAUCGAAUUAUUUUGGAAGUAACAUUCCAAUCAAUCUUGUGGUUGCUGUCACUGCUGAGAUCAUGCUGGUUGGAGGUGCUGAAUACUAUAGAAUUAUCAAUGGACUGGUAAGGAAGACCUCAACAUCGAAAUCAGUCAUUUACUUUGUGUUCUGUUAAAUUAGAUGAUACCAGACUGCUCAUAGUAGAAGGAUUUGGAGGACAAGCUCAACCCUGGAGGUCCAUUUGAUCCUCUGGGGCUGGCAAACGAAGCUGCACUGCUCAAGGAGAAGGAGAUUAAGAGCAGGCGGCUAGCGAUGCUCGCAAUGCUUGGUCUCUUCCUGCAAGCCUAUUCGACUGGGAAAGGGUCAGUGGAGAACCUGAUGAGACAUCCGAGCGAACCAGUCGGAAAAAAUUUGCUCACUGUAAUAUCCCAGCUGCUUUUUCUUCCAUGAUUUCUAUGCCAUGUAAAACGAUGAAAUCACUCGAGGCAAUGCAAAAUGUCACUGUAAGCUUCUGUACGAAACCUCGUGUACGGUUCUUUAGAAACAAGUGUAGUGAUGAUGAUUUUGCUUUGAAUUCUUGUGUUUGAUCA
Molecule: RNA transcript, 1259 nt
Organism: Musa acuminata AAA Group (dessert banana)
Lineage: Eukaryota; Viridiplantae; Streptophyta; Magnoliopsida; Zingiberales; Musaceae
Gene name: chlorophyll a-b binding protein CP26, chloroplastic-like
Exons: 6
Source: RefSeq, a predicted model, not a curated record